AUCAUUGUACGAAAAACCCAAAAACAUGAAUAAAAUUCUGUUCUUAUCAGCUUAAUAUCUGAUACGGGUCCUAUUUGGACCCAAGAUAUUAAUCUUUUUUUUAGAGAGGAAGAAGUUGGAACACGUAAGUAAACAAACCGGCCUCGUCCGUGAUUUUCCUAUUUUCUAGCUACAAAAUAGGCUGGAUAAUCAAUC
Ixodes scapularis (black-legged tick) is the source of this 195-nucleotide non-coding RNA. Lineage: Eukaryota; Metazoa; Arthropoda; Arachnida; Ixodida; Ixodidae. The record is from Rfam.